RNAcentral lists this ribosomal RNA (332 nucleotides) under uncultured bacterium. Its description in RNAcentral is "bacterial SSU rRNA". It matches the Rfam family "Bacterial small subunit ribosomal RNA", at positions 568 to 898 of the family's 1533-position model. The record is from RNAcentral.
CGCGUAGGUGGUCCUUCAAGUCAGAUGUUAAAUUUCUCGGCUUAACUGGGAAUGGUCAUCUGAUACUGCUGGACUUGAGGGUGGUAGAGGGAGGUGGAAUUCCCGGUGUAGUGGUGAAAUGCGUAGAUAUCGGGAGGAACACCAGUGGCGAAAGCGGCCUCCUAGGCCAUUUCUGACACUGAGGUGCGAAAGCGUGGGGAGCGAACAGGAUCAGAUACCCUGGUAGUCCACGCCCUAAACUGUGGAAACUAGGUACAGGGAGUAUCGACCCUUCCUGCGCCGUAGCUAACGCGUUAAGUUUCCCGCUUGGGGACUACGGUCGCAAGACUAAA